This 74-nucleotide transfer RNA is filed under the name Spirochaetales bacterium. RNAcentral's name for it is "tRNA-Arg". It matches the Rfam family "tRNA". From Rfam's summary of the family: Transfer RNA (tRNA) molecules are approximately 80 nucleotides in length. Their secondary structure includes four short double-helical elements and three loops (D, anti-codon, and T loops). RNAcentral also lists the same sequence under 1 other name. The record is from RNAcentral. Lineage: Bacteria; Pseudomonadati; Spirochaetota; Spirochaetia; Spirochaetales.
GCGCCAAUAGCUCAGCUGGAUAGAGCAACGGCCUUCUAAGCCGUAGGUCAUGGGUUCGAGUCCCCUUUGGCGUA